RNAcentral lists this ribosomal RNA (253 nucleotides) under uncultured bacterium. RNAcentral describes it as "partial 16S ribosomal RNA". It matches the Rfam family "Bacterial small subunit ribosomal RNA", at positions 524 to 776 of the family's 1533-position model. The record is from RNAcentral.
UACGUAGGGUGCGAGCGUUAAUCGGAAUUACUGGGCGUAAAGCGUGCGCAGGCGGCUUUUUAAGCCAGAUGUGAAAUCCCCGGGCUCAACCUGGGACCUGCAUUUGUGACUGCAUAGCUAGAGUACGGUAGAGGGGGAUGGAAUUCCGCGUGUAGCAGUGAAAUGCGUAGAUAUGCGGAGGAACACCGAUGGCGAAGGCAAUCCCCUGGACCUGUACUGACGCUCAUGCACGAAAGCGUGGGGAGCAAACAGG